UCCCGAGUAGCUCAGUGGUAGAGCGGACGGCUGUUAACCGUUUGGUCGUAGGUUCGAGUCCUACCUCGGGAGCCA
RNAcentral lists this transfer RNA (75 nucleotides) under Dehalococcoidales bacterium. RNAcentral's name for it is "tRNA-Asn". It matches the Rfam family "tRNA". From Rfam's summary of the family: Transfer RNA (tRNA) molecules are approximately 80 nucleotides in length. Their secondary structure includes four short double-helical elements and three loops (D, anti-codon, and T loops). The record is from RNAcentral. Lineage: Bacteria; Bacillati; Chloroflexota; Dehalococcoidia; Dehalococcoidales.